CCCUUAGAUGUUCUGGGCUGCACGCGCGCUACACUGACAUGUCCAGCGAGCUCCCAACCUGCUCGGCAAAGAAUGGGUACCCUUUUUAACGCAUGUCGUGAUGGGGAUAGAUUAUUGCAAUUGUUGAUCCUGAACGAGGAAUUCCUAGUAAGUGCAAGUCAUUAGCUUGUGCUGAAUACGUCCCUGCCCUUUGUACACACCGCCCGUCGCUACUACCGAUUGAACGGUUUAGUGAGGGCCUCGGAUUGGUCUCGGCCCGCUCUUUACCGGGCGGCGCCGUUGGUCGAGAAGACGCUCGAACUUGAUCGUUUAGAGGAAGUAAAAGUCGUAACA
Molecule: ribosomal RNA, 333 nt
Filed under: uncultured eukaryote
Lineage: Eukaryota
Description: partial 18S ribosomal RNA
Rfam family: Eukaryotic small subunit ribosomal RNA
Source: RNAcentral